UACGUAGGGUGCGAGCGUUGUCCGGAAUUAUUGGGCGUAAAGAGCUCGUAGGCGGUGUGUUACGUCGGCCGUGAAAACCUGCAGCUUAACUGUGGGCGUGCGGUCGAUACGGGCAUCACUGGAGUUCGGCAGGGGAGACUGGAAUUCCUGGUGUAGCGGUGAAAUGCGUAGAGAUCGGAAAGAACACCAACGGCGAAAGCACUCUGCUGGGCCGACACUGACACUGAGAGACGAAAGCUAGGGGAGCGAAUGGG
RNAcentral lists this ribosomal RNA (254 nucleotides) under uncultured bacterium. Its description in RNAcentral is "partial 16S ribosomal RNA". It matches the Rfam family "Bacterial small subunit ribosomal RNA", at positions 524 to 776 of the family's 1533-position model. The record is from RNAcentral.